Long non-coding RNA from Ostrea edulis (European flat oyster), 4105 nucleotides. RefSeq lists it as uncharacterized. Lineage: Eukaryota; Metazoa; Mollusca; Bivalvia; Ostreida; Ostreidae. The transcript is spliced from 2 exons. The record is from RefSeq and is a predicted model, not a curated record.
UUGGGGAUUCCAGGCCUGAGAUAUUUACACAGGAGCGAUGGUUUGAGUGGAUCACAUCAUAGGUGUACUUUUUGAUUUUAUUGAUCUUUUUUUCUAGAGACGUCACCCGCUUUAACUAAAUUCGACACUUUGCAAGUAACUUAUCGUGCCACGCCCACCAGAACGCUUGGCGAAGGAAUACCUAUACAUUGUUAAACGCAGUAUCGUAAAUUUAAAUAUUUACACAUGGGGGGGGGGGGGGGGCAGUCAAGGUUAACUUUAAAGUUGUCUGAAAUCUCAUGGCAAACAAAGAAAAAAAAAAAGAAAAAAAAAAAGGUCAGAGAAAUGUUAAAUCGGGAGGUGUUUCUUAUGUUCAGUAGUCGGUUUCCUUUCUAUGUACAGCAGUGGGAACAUCGCUCGGCUUUUUCCGUCAAGUUGAGAAGUGCAUUGAAAGUUCAUUACAUGACAUUGUGUUUUUUAUCGGGUCGCGGGUGGUAUUUAGAAAGAAAGCAUUACAUCCAUUACAAAAAUGAAAACAGAACUAAAUGAAAUCGGGAGUGAUGUUUGCCAGCCAUUUUAAAGACGAAGUGUUUUCUGUUCAAGUAAUGAGUUGAGUGAAAUAAAGAACCUCCAGACAUCUGUGUACAUGAACAAAUGAAGGAUUAAAUGUUUGCACUCGCGCAUGCGAGCUGAUCCGAAAUUGCGUGUUCGAGUUUUCUUUCAUGAAUAUUUUAGGUUUUGUUGAAUGGAUGCAUCAAUUAAAACAUGAAUUAAGGGAAAAAGAACUUUCUAGUGGGUUGGGGUGGGGCUGUAUUAUACAUCAAUGGGGUUUCGAUCUUGUUUGUAAACUUCGCCAGAUUUGAAUUAUUAUGUACAUGUGUGGUUUUUUGUUUGUUUGUUUUUGGUUUUUGGUUUUUUUGGAACAACUUGAAUUCCCCUGAACGAUAUCUAUGGAUUUAAUGUUUCUGCCUUUGUUAUGACUACGUACAAAUUGUAAUGAUAGCUAUUUUCUCGUGGGUGUGUAGUAUUUGUAAACAAUGUGCGCAUGAAUAUAUUAUGUUUAAUUUAAUGACUGGAAAUUCUCCGAUAAAUUAUGAGUGAAACAUAAUACAGAUGUGACGAUUAGAGCCUCGGAAGUUAGGUGAAUCUCGGUCUGUCGCUAUUUCUCACUGUUACGUGGAUCAUUUGGUAGAGCACCUCGCUAGAGAGUUAGGUGUCCAGGGCUCGAAUCCGGUCUGAUCCGUCACCAGAAAUUUAGGGCCUCGGGGGAGGGGGGGGGUUAGAAUCUCGGUCUGAUCCGUUACUAGACAGGGAGGCCCGGGGGUCGAAUCUCGGUCUGGUCCGUCACUCACUCAAAGUCAAUAAAAGCGUGCAAUUGAUGUCGCCGGCACUUUAUUAGAAAAUAAGCUAUACCAAAUCAUAUAUUUUGUGUGCUAUACAUUCAUGGACCCAUAGCCUCCCUAGGCAUGGUAUACUUUUUAUUUCCCCUUUACUUAUAAACUUGGUAGGAAGCGUAGAUACCCUAAUUUUGUAACGUACGUGACUGUCGCCGACUCAAUUUUUAAAAUUGAACAAGCAAAUAUAAAAAUCUGAGAGCGUGUUUUUAAAUUUUCUUUGCGUUAAUAUCAUUUGUAUUUCCUAAAUUUUCAUUCAAUAAAAGUUUAACAACUUUUGCGUGUGAUUUUAAGUAGUGGUGUAUAUAUUACUCCAUGUCGCCAGAUUAUAUUAUGUGAUCAUAGGGUCAAUUAAACACCCAAUGUAUGGACAAAGAUUUCGUAUUAUCUUUAUGUUUUUGAUCUAUUUUGGCGCUAAAAUAUUCAAAAACUGUGUGAAAAUAUUCAUCAAGCGAUAUUUGGAUGUGGCAUUGAGAAGAAGUCAUCAUAUUCUCAAAAUUUUGAAUUCUGAUUUUAGAAAUGUAACAUACGAUACACUAAUUUUUUUUUAUGAAAACGUAUUUGCAGAGCAAAUGUUACCCCUUUUAUGAAAAUCUCGUAGUGUACAGAGAAUGAAAAUAUAAACAUUUCUUUUGCAGAAGUCAUUGGUUGGUCUGAAAUUUGACAAACGUGUCAAGAUGUAACAUUCGUGAUGUAACAUUCGUUACCGAGAAAUUAAUUAAAGGGAAUGAUAGAACAAUUUCCAACGUAUUUUUGCUCUCUCUCUGCAUGAUGUGGUAUACGACAUGAACGUCUACUAUGAACAUUUGAGUUUGAAAGUCAAUACGUGUUAAACUUUGAGAAUUAGGAUUAAUUUUCUCUUACGGUAAGUACUGUUACAACAACUGCAAUGUUUGAUAUACAAUAUUGAUUAAGCAAAUGAAAUGUUUUGGUCUGAAUUUGUUCUUCUGAUAUCAAAGAAUGUAUAUCGUAUUCCAAAUAUCUCGAAAUUCUUCUGGUGUAAGAAUUACAUUGAGUAGAAUGCUGGUAACAUACGUUACUCAAAGUAACGUAUGCUACUUAAUGAAAUGCUUGAUUAGACAUCAAAUAUUGAACUACAUAUUGACAAAAUAUCAUCAUUAACGAUAUGUUUGUUGAAUAUCAACUAUGUUAUGAAGAAACAAAUGUGUUAUUGUUCCCGUAUUCACUAGCAUAUACAGAUAUCCUCUGCAAGAAAUACAGGCCAUGUUUUCCUCUGCUCCUGUCCUAUUUAUGAUACAUGUAACUAUGCAACUCUACAUUUAUCAAUUUGCUAGAAUUCAGCAUCUUUUCAUAAUAUAUCUUAGAAAUGAAGGGACUAAUCUCUGAUGAUUGUUCUAUGCAAUCUUAUAGAGAAAUCAUUCAAAAAUAUUUUAUCUGAGUGUAACAUAUGUUACCACAAAUUCCGUUACGUAAUAAUAUUCUACUUGUUUUUAAUUUUUUAUUUAUUUUUUUUUUCAGAAAUGGCGCUUGUGAGAGUAGAAGUACAAAAUAACUACCAUGAAAAAAAAUGUAUUAAAACAUAAGAACAACCAUGAAAAAAUGUUUUAGAAAUAAUAUUAUAUGCUCCCCUUGUGGCAAUACUGAAAAGGUAGAAUGUCUGUAUAGACAGUGAAAAUAAAGGUUUAACUACCGGUCAAAGGCUACCAUAAUGAUACAUGUAAGUUUUGUCUCUCAAAAUACUUAUAAGCAACUGGUCAUUUGAGUAAUUUUGUAUGACCUUUGACCUUGUGACUUGGAAUCCAAUGGGGGUCAUCUAUUCAUAAGGGGCACCAGUGUUUCAAGUUUGAUGUCUACCAAGGAAAGACUUCUCAACGGACAAUAGCGUAUGUCCAGAGUAGUUUAACCGUUGUCCUUUUGACCUCAAAAUUAAUAGGGGACAUCGUUAAAUAUUCAUUCAUAACACCGCGUGGUGGAUUAUACUGACAGUUUCUAUGGAAAGGUAUUCCAAAAUAAGCAACAAAAACAUAAGAUUCGGUAUACGUUUAAUUAAAAUGUUGGGAAAUUAAACAUUUUCUUUAUAUUAUUAUUGUAAACAGAUUGUUAGAAAUGGGUACAUAUGAUUCUUUCCAUUUUUUGAAUAGAAAUGAUGUGUUUAUAGUAAUGAAAGGAAAAAUAAGAAACAUACGUUACUUUCAUUGUUUAUUAUAACAAAGAGCAAUCCAGGUUUCAAAACAUGUGUCUGUUAUUUCUAUAAGAAUCAUGAGCAUUUAAAUAGCGAAACAUCAAUCUAUCACUUUUGUUUUAAUCGCACAUUUAUUGCAAAUUAACAAAUUCAGAAGAAAAGACACAUUUGGUAAAAAAAUUUCCUUGUCUACGUUAUAUUUCUAUUAAAAUUGGUAUUUCCAUUGAAUUAAGUGAUGUUAUGAUUUUGCAACAUCAAUCGUAAAGAAUAACUGAUGGUGGCAUCGUUUUGGCACAAUAUUUUCAUGGAUGUACUGUUGUGUAAGUGUUGAAACAUACGUUACAUAAUUAUAGCGCUACUUCAUUUACAUACAAAAAAGCUAUUGUUCUAUAUCUAUUGCUAGUCUUUUGUUUUCAUGUUUCAUACAUAUUGAACUGUUCGAGAAUAUUUGUUAAUCAAUUUUAUUUUUUGCCAUUUCAAAGAUAUUGAAAGUGAUAUCUAGUCGUUUAUUUUGCGCUCUUAAAAUCUUAUUGCUGAAUUUUACAUCAGAUAAUUUCUUGUUGUGUUGAUUAAAUAUUUUCUUUGAAAA